CAAGUUCGGCAGGAGAUCUGAGGAGCUGGAAUCUGUGAUACAUGGAUGGCUCGCUGGGAGAGACUGGGAGGUAAGUUUUUCCCCCUGUUGACCUCUUACUUGCUUAUUCAUAUUAGGUUGAACUCUACAGAGCCAUAUCUUUUCCAAAUGCCAAUUUUAAGGGAAGUGCAACUUUCUGAAUUCGUAUUCCUUCUAGCAGUUCAUGAUGGUAGAUGUUUUUCUUUCAUUUAUGUUUACUCCUUUUGGUGGCUCUUGGUGGGUUCAUCUAUAGGAUCUAUCCUUCCCAACUUGCUUGAGAAUAAAACGGCGUGAUGUGUUUGUCGUAUGUCAUAAAGCUAUGUGAACUUUUGUAGUAGAUAAUCUAUUUAUCUAUCAAGUGACAGUCAGGAUAUGCCAUUUGUUUGAUUUUAUUUCUUUGUUUCAACAGAAGGCAAUCGCAGACCUCACAUCAUCAGAGUUCAGUGCGGGAGGUUCAAAGCGGGCAAAAAGGAACUAGCCAUUUGCCAAGGUAUCAUGCUUCCUACUUAAGGCAGCGAGCUGCUCUAUUCACUAGUUUCCUGUCAUCUGCCAUGAUGAGUGGGAGUUUUCUGUUGCGUGCAGCUGGCGUUUGCUCCCUCUUCCUGCAAAAUUAUUGCUACGAAAAAUAAACCUUGGAAGGAAGCAAUUAGAAUAAACCAAUACAUGCAACAUCCUACGAAAUUAUAACCAUACAUAAAAAAAGAAGUAAAUGAAUGCAUGUGCCAUUAGCAGUAUUCCUCUGUUUCAUGUUACAGAACCAUGAAUAUGAGAUAGAAUUUAGGGGAUGCCAAGCAGAGUAGGAACAGUUAUUACCUUGAUCAACUAUCCGUCCAAAAACAUGAUUAAACCUAAAGGUCAUCUUCUAUUUCUCUGCUGAAGGACGCUUUGAGGCACUUCGAGGCCGGCACCUAAAGAACAACCUGGUGUUUUCCCACAUCUCGAUGAGCUCAUUGUAUAAAGUACACAUUUUUAGAUAACGGGCAACAAAGAGUGCUCGACUCCAAUUGGAAGCUUUGCUGGAAUUUGCCGAUACUAUUCUCAGGUCAUACAUUUUCUUUCCUUCGAUGCCAUCAUCAGCUAUCCCCUCUUUGAUAUUGGUUAGGGUAUCCACAUAGUUACAAAGGAAAUCCGCAUAAGCCAAAGAUUUCUGCGGUUUAACUUUAUCAAAUAUUAUGUCAUUUCUCAAAUGCCAGGCCCUCCACCACAUGAACAUUAGUUCUUGUCGAGUUUCCCACGGGUGCCUCCUAGACUGCUACCCAGUUUGUGAAGCCUUGUUCAACACAUCCCAGGUUGGUAGAACCAUAUAGUUUGUGAAGUGGAAUUGGCAUUCGUUAACUAAAAGCACCAUCUAAACGCAUGUACAAAAGAAAGGUCAGAUCAUUGAGGACAGGCAACCAGAAUAUUUGACUCGAUGUGAUUUGUUUUAGCUGCUAAUCAUCCUAGUACCACUGCUGUUUCAUCCAUAUAUUGGUAGUAACAAGUUGCCUGUUUGCCCUUGCAGGUAGAUGAAGCAGCAGCAGCAGCAGGAGAAGGCACGAGUCAAUGGUCCAGUGCCAAACAUCAUCGUCAUAGUCCAGUUCAGGCAUUUUUUUGGGGAUCUGAACUUGCUAAUUGUGUUAGCAUUUUGGUUACUAGCUGACAUGUGUAACCCAGUACAUCUAAUUUGGGAACUAAACUAGUUGCCAGUAGCAGUGUAAUGGGGGAAAUGGCCAUUGGAUGGUGCUCAUAGCAACACAAUGAACACCUGAUAUCCUUUUGUGCUGCUUUUUGAGGAAGAGCAAACUGUAGGUCAAAGUAUUUGUCUCGUUUUGAUCAAGACUGCUCUGUUAUGGAUUUUUUUUUUCAAAACUGGCAUGCUUUUUAUAGCA
This 1886-nucleotide long non-coding RNA is filed under the name Hordeum vulgare. RNAcentral describes it as "long non-coding RNA (HVUL_LNC016726)". Lineage: Eukaryota; Viridiplantae; Streptophyta; Magnoliopsida; Poales; Poaceae. The record is from RNAcentral.